UUUAUUGGAGAGUUUGAUCCUGGCUCAGGAUGAACGCUGGCGGCGUGCCUAAUACAUGCAAGUCGAGCGUCGAGC
RNAcentral lists this ribosomal RNA (75 nucleotides) under Bacillus thuringiensis. Its description in RNAcentral is "partial 16S ribosomal RNA". It matches the Rfam family "Bacterial small subunit ribosomal RNA", at positions 1 to 74 of the family's 1533-position model. Lineage: Bacteria; Bacillati; Bacillota; Bacilli; Caryophanales; Bacillaceae. The record is from RNAcentral.